Non-coding RNA from Pelobates cultripes (western spadefoot toad), 310 nucleotides. Lineage: Eukaryota; Metazoa; Chordata; Amphibia; Anura; Pelobatidae. The record is from the annotation of a GenBank genome assembly.
CAACAGUCAUGUAAAAUAAGGUGCAUGACUGUUGUGGACAAAGAUACUAACCCAAUCCAUGUUGGUAAAAUGCCUAUUUACUCAGUAUAACUACAAUAAGCAUUAUUCAACUUUAUAUGUGAUUUACCUAAAAAUGGCCGUUAGGGAGUUUCCCCUUGACAUCGACUAACACCCUCAUUAACAAGAUGGCGCUGGAAUCUGGGGGAGACCUCCAAGCUAUCAGUGACAUCACACCCGGUAGGAAGAGCAAUAAAAUGGACCACUUAACACCUAACCAAUUAUUGAUGUAUUAUUCCAUGUUAUCUCUGAC